AAAGGAAUAGACGGGGGCCCGCACAAGCAGUGGAGUAUGUGGAUUAAUUCGAGGCAACGCGAAGAACCUUACCAGGGCUUGACAUCUCCUGUAGAUCUAAGAGAUUAGAUUGUCCCUUCGGGGCAGGAAGACAGGUGGUGCAUGGUUGUCGUCAGCUCGUGUCGUGAGAUGUUCGGUUAAGUCCGGCAACGAGCGCAACCCCUGUGGCCAGUUGCCAUCAUUCAGUUGGGCACUCUGGCAAGACUGCCGUUAAUAAAACGGAGGAAGGUGGGGAUGACGUCAAAUCAUCAUGCCCCUUAUGUCCUGGGCUUCACACGUACUACAAUGGUAACAACAGAGGGCAGCCACACCGCGAGGUGGAGCGAAUCCCAAAAUGUUAUCCCAGUUCGGAUUGCAGGCUGAAACUCGCCUGCAUGAAGCAGGAAUUGCUAGUAAUGGCAGGUCAGCAUACUGCCGUGAAUACGUUCCCGGGCCUUGUACACACCGCCCGU
Molecule: ribosomal RNA, 491 nt
Filed under: uncultured bacterium
Lineage: Bacteria
Description: bacterial SSU rRNA
Rfam family: Bacterial small subunit ribosomal RNA
Source: RNAcentral